CGCCUUUUGAUAUAUAUUUAUAAAAGGUCCUGCCUGCCCAGUGACUCUGUUUAACGGCCGCGGUAUCAUGACCGUGCAAAGGUAGCGUAAUCACUUGUCUUUUAAAUAAAGACUAGUAUGAACGGCAACACGAGGGUCCAACUGUCUCAUUAAAUUGGUCAGUGAAAUUAAUCUUUCCGUGCAGAAGCGGGAAUAAUUAUAUAAGACGAGAAGACCCUGCGGAACUUUAAAUCCAAACUAACACUUAAUAGUAUUAUAGUAUACGAUUUUUGGUUGGGGCGACCAUGAGGCAAAAUUAACCCUCAAGAUAUAAAUCAGAGAGACAUCUCUAACAAAUAGUUAUACUAACACAUUGACCCAAUAAUUGAUCAACGAACCAAGCUACCCCAGGGAUAACAGCGCAAUCCACUCACAGAGCCCAUAUCGACGAGCGGGUUUACGACCUCGAUGUUGGAUCAGGACUACCUAGUGGUGCAGCAACUACUAAAGGUUCGUUUGUUCAACGAUUAAAGUCCU
Molecule: ribosomal RNA, 516 nt
Filed under: Oedipina gephyra
Lineage: Eukaryota; Metazoa; Chordata; Amphibia; Caudata; Plethodontidae
Description: partial 16S ribosomal RNA
Rfam family: Bacterial large subunit ribosomal RNA
Source: RNAcentral